RNAcentral lists this ribosomal RNA (253 nucleotides) under uncultured bacterium. RNAcentral's name for it is "partial 16S ribosomal RNA". It matches the Rfam family "Bacterial small subunit ribosomal RNA", at positions 524 to 776 of the family's 1533-position model. The record is from RNAcentral.
UACGAAGGGGGCUAGCGUUGCUCGGAAUGACUGGGCGUAAAGGGCGCGUAGGCGGAUGGCACAGUCAGAUGUGAAAUUCCCGGGCUUAACCUGGGGGCUGCAUUUGAUACGUGUUGUCUUGAGUUCGGAAGAGGGUCGUGGAAUUCCCAGUGUAGAGGUGAAAUUCGUAGAUAUCAGGAGGAACACCGGUGGCGAAGGCGGUGGGCUGGGCCGGAACUGACGCUGAGGAGCGAAAGCGUGGGGAGCGAACAGG